This 250-nucleotide ribosomal RNA is filed under the name uncultured bacterium. Its description in RNAcentral is "partial 16S ribosomal RNA". It matches the Rfam family "Bacterial small subunit ribosomal RNA", at positions 524 to 773 of the family's 1533-position model. The record is from RNAcentral.
GACAGAGGGGGCAAGCGUUGUCCGGAAUCACUGGGCGUAAAGCGCACGCAGGCGGCACGGCAAGUGGUGUGUGACAGCGGACGGCUCAACCGUCCGACGCCAUGCCAGACUGCCGCGCUCGAGCCGUGCAGAGGUCAGCGGAAUUGCCGGUGUAGGAGUGACAUCCGUAGAGACCGGCAGGAACACCGAAGGGGAAGCCAGCUGACUGGGCACGUGCUGACGCUCAGGUGCGACAGCGUGGGGAGCAAAC